GUGGCAGACGGGUGAGUAACACGUGGGAAUCUGCCCUGUAGAGUGGGAUAACUAGUAGAAAUGCUUAGCUAAUACCGCAUAUUGCCGAGAGGUGAAAGAUUUAUUGCUACAGGAUGAGCCCGCGCAAGAUUAGUUAGUUGGUGAGGUAAUGGCUUACCAAGACUGCGAUCUUUAGCUGGUCUGAGAGGAUGAUCAGCCACACUGGAACUGAGACACGGUCCAGACUCCUACGGGGGGCAGCAGUGGGGAAUAUUGGACAAUGGGCGAAAGCCUGAUCCAGCAACGCCGCGUGAGUGAAGAAGGCCUGUGGGUUGUAAAGCUCUUUUAGUGAAGAAGAUAAUGACGGUAUUCACAGAAAAAGUCCCGGCUAACUUCGUGCCAGCAGCCGCGGUAAUACGAAGGGGGCUAACGUUACUCGGAAUUACUGGGCGUAAAGCGUGCGUAGGCGGUCCUGUAAGUUGGAAGUGAAAUCCUUGGGCUCAACCCAAGAACUGCU
RNAcentral lists this ribosomal RNA (496 nucleotides) under uncultured bacterium. RNAcentral describes it as "bacterial SSU rRNA". It matches the Rfam family "Bacterial small subunit ribosomal RNA", at positions 95 to 625 of the family's 1533-position model. The record is from RNAcentral.